Long non-coding RNA from Echinops telfairi (small Madagascar hedgehog), 1655 nucleotides. RefSeq lists it as uncharacterized. The transcript has 4 exons. NCBI's taxonomy places the organism in Eukaryota, Metazoa, Chordata, Mammalia, Afrosoricida, Tenrecidae. The record is from RefSeq and is a predicted model, not a curated record.
GAAGGCUUGGUGAAGGGGCUGGAGACUCGAUCCAGACCUGCCGACAGGAUCUGCGGUUCCUGCAGGUCCCAGGAUGACUUGGGGGCACUGAAAAGAGAAGGUGGCUCGCGGCCUACUUGGGUGGCUGAAAUAAAAGUCUACUCGAGGAAAUCCAUCCAUCCGCAGGAAACAAAAAAUGGGAGUCGAGACUCUGGCCGUUGUCACUUCCCCCUACCAGAGCGGUGCCGCCUGGGGGGCGGAGACUCGGGACCUGGAGAGUCCCUUUCUCCCACCUCCGCUCCUUUCCUAGGACUUCCCGCGGGAAGGAGGAGACCCUGGCCUCGCCCUCGGCUCGCGGGCCCCAGGCCGCCUCUCUCUCUUUCUCUCUCUCUCUUACCCCUUCGAGCGACAGACGCUUAGUUCCCGCGCUGGAGAAGUCAGCCCCCUGGGUCCCGCCCGCUCCCACGCCGGUCGCCCUCCAGUCAUGGCUGCCACCACCUCGGUUCCACUCAAUCGAUUUUUGCUGCAUGUCAACACUUAUUACCGUGUCAUACAUAACCCCGUGCGGAAGGACGAGCUCCUGGAAAGCGAGUAAUGUUUAAAGAUUCGGCCUGAUCUCCAAGGCCGACCCACUCCGCCGCCCAGCCCAGGUCUCCAGUGUUUCCAAACAAAGAAAAUGAAUUUUCAUCCUUAACCUACCACCACCAAGGAAGAAGCUGAGGUAACUUCCUACCUGAAAGAAUCGAAAACCGAAUCGACUGUGUUUAACGUGCAUAACUUCCUUCACGUUGUUAAAGGCUCAGAGCAGUGCACACUCCUGACUAUUGGGCCUUCUUAGACUGUGUGUGUGUCUUCAACUCUGGAGACUGAUGGAUCUUUCUAGACCUGUUUCUCCCAUUCCAUUCUGCGGGUAAAAUACGCAUAAGGUGUUUCCCCACCCCCUCUCGCGCGCCCUGUCUCCCUCUCCCGUUUUCAUUAUCCGCAGCAAUGUGUUGGGUCAACUCGGAAAAUAGAUCUUGCUCGAUUAUGGGCCCUAAGGUACCAAGAUUAAGUCCUGGGGGCAGUUUCUUAGAACCCCUGAAACUCCCUCUGACCCCACCCCCAGGUUUUCCUUCCGGAAGUAGCCUAGUGUCUCCGGGACAGUUCGCUGCUGCAUGGACUCCCUCACACGGUCGGGGCAGGAACCUUUCUGCUGGAUGCUCUAGGGCCAGGAGACCUAAAACCGUGACGACUGCUCCCCACCCCCCACCCCACCCCCCGAGAAAGCGGUGUGGCAGUGUGGAAUGUGACUUAGAAUUCACAAUAGUGGCAGUCCAGGACUUAAGGCGCGCUCCCUGGGGCUGAGUCUGUCAACAGCCCCUUCAGACCUGCUUCUCCAUGCCGGUGUCUGGUGGAGUUGCUGCACCCAGCUGGAGCUCAUGCUGAACGGACUGGUGUCACUGCAGGUGGCUGCUUGCACGUCUCUGACCUUGAGUCUUCGGGCCAGAUGUGGACUAAGAAUGGGGACCCAGGUGGAAGACCCUGCAGGCCCUCCAGGGGCUAAGGAAGAGGCUUUUGCCUGCUAGAGCCAGCAGGUCCCGUGGUUAGAAAAAACAAACAAACAAACAGGACUUCAAGAAAAAGAGUAAAAUAAAAACCUUUCUGGUUGUGGGUGCAGGCACCCAUGUUGUUCUUUU